UUUAUGGAGAGUUUGAUCCUGGCUCAGGAUGAACGCUGGCGGCGUGCCUAAUACAUGCAAGUCGAGCGAACGGACGAGAAGCUUGCUUCUCUGAUGUUAGCGGCGGACGGGUGAGUAACACGUGGAUAACCUACCUAUAAGACUGGGAUAACUUCGGGAAACCGGAGCUAAUACCGGAUAAUAUUUUGAACCGCAUGGUUCAAAAGUGAAAAGACGGUCUUGCUGUCACUUAUAGAUGGAUCCGCGCUGCAUUAGCUAGUUGGUAAGGUAACGGCUUACCAAGGCAACGAUGCAUAGCCGACCUGAGAGGGUGAUCGGCCACACUGGAACUGAGACACGGUCCAGACUCCUACGGGAGGCAGCAGUAGGGAAUCUUCCGCAAUGGGCGAAAGCCUGACGGAGCAACGCCGCGUGAGUGAUGAAGGUCUUCGGAUCGUAAAACUCUGUUAUUAGGGGAAGAACAUAUGUGUAAGUAACUGUGCACAUCUUGACGGUACCUAAUCAGAAAGCCACGGCUAACUACGUGCCAGCAGCCGCGGUAAUACGUAGGUGGCAAGCGUUAUCCGGAAUUAUUGGGCGUAAAGCGCGCGUAGGCGGUUUUUUAAGUCUGAUGUGAAAGCCCACGGCUCAACCGUGGAGGGUCAUUGGAAACUGGAAAACUUGAGUGCAGAAGAGGAAAGUGGAAUUCCAUGUGUAGCGGUGAAAUGCGCAGAGAUAUGGAGGAACACCAGUGGCGAAGGCGACUUUCUGGUCUGUAACUGACGCUGAUGUGCGAAAGCGUGGGGGAUCAAACAGGAUUAGAUACCCUGGUAGUCCACGCCGUAAACGAUGAGUGCUAAGUGUUAGGGGGUUUCCGCCCCUUAGUGCUGCAGCUAACGCAUUAAGCACUCCGCCUGGGGAGUACGACCGCAAGGUUGAAACUCAAAGGAAUUGACGGGGGACCCGCACAAGCGGUGGAGCAUGUGGUUUAAUUCGAAGCAACGCGAAGAACCUUACCAAAUCUUGACAUCCUUUGACAACUCUAGAGAUAGAGCCUUCCUCUUCGGGGGGACAAAGUGACAGGUGGUGCAUGGUUGUCGUCAGCUCGUGUCGUGAGAUGUUGGGUUAAGUCCCGCAACGAGCGCAACCCUUAAGCUUAGUUGCCAUCAUUAAGUUGGGCACUCUAAGUUGACUGCCGGUGACAAACCGGAGGAAGGUGGGGAUGACGUCAAAUCAUCAUGCCCCUUAUGAUUUGGGCUACACACGUGCUACAAUGGACAAUACAAAGGGCAGCGAAACCGCGAGGUCAAGCAAAUCCCAUAAAGUUGUUCUCAGUUCGGAUUGUAGUCUGCAACUCGACUACAUGAAGCUGGAAUCGCUAGUAAUCGUAGAUCAGCAUGCUACGGUGAAUACGUUCCCGGGUCUUGUACACACCGCCCGUCACACCACGAGAGUUUGUAACACCCGAAGCCGGUGGAGUAACCUUUUAGGAGCUAGCCGUCGAAGGUGGGACAAAUGAUUGGGGGUGAAGUCGUAACAAGGUAGCCGUAUCGGAAGGUGCGGCUGGAUCACCUCCUUUCU
This 1560-nucleotide ribosomal RNA is filed under the name Staphylococcus aureus. RNAcentral's name for it is "16S ribosomal RNA". It matches the Rfam family "Bacterial small subunit ribosomal RNA". The record is from RNAcentral. Lineage: Bacteria; Bacillati; Bacillota; Bacilli; Caryophanales; Staphylococcaceae.